RNAcentral lists this unclassified non-coding RNA (229 nucleotides) under plant metagenome. Its description in RNAcentral is "partial contains small subunit ribosomal RNA, internal transcribed spacer 1, and 5.8S ribosomal RNA". The record is from RNAcentral.
UCUCCGUAGGUGAACCUGCGGAGGGAUCAUUACAGAGUUCAUGCCCUACCGGGUAGAUCUACCACCCUAUGUUAUUAUUACUUUGUUGCUUUGGCUGGCCGUUAGGCUCCGGCCCGACUACCGGCCCCGGCUGGUAAGCGCCCGCCAGAGGACCCAAAACCCUGAAUAUUAGUGUCGUCUGAGUACUAUAUAAUAGUUAAAACUUUCAACAACGGAUCUCUUGGUUCUG